Molecule: long non-coding RNA, 352 nt
Organism: Apis florea (little honeybee)
Lineage: Eukaryota; Metazoa; Arthropoda; Insecta; Hymenoptera; Apidae
Gene: Isha
Source: RefSeq, a predicted model, not a curated record
AUUAUAAUUUCUAUAUGUUAUAUAUAAUUUUUGUUUAAUUUAAAAUUAUUUUCUUUGCAAUUAAAUAUUGUAACCUGUUAUUGAUGUCGAUUUAAUCGAUGAAAAAAACUUGGUAUGCACAUGCGCAAAAAUAUGUGAUCGAUAUUAGAAUAUCGGGUAUAAAAUCUUGAAUACAUACAUUAACCUCGAAUUUUUAUUCAUAUUCAUUUAGAAAACAUUUAAAAAAUAUCAAAUAUUCUUAGGCACAAUCUUGGAAUGGAACAAAUGGAUCUAUUAUGUGAUUUUUCCUCAAUCUUAUGUAUUUAUUGUAAACAUAAGCAUUUUAAUAAAAUUGAGAUAUGAAUGUAUAUAA